Molecule: ribosomal RNA, 682 nt
Filed under: Streptomyces sp. YIM 67223
Lineage: Bacteria; Bacillati; Actinomycetota; Actinomycetes; Kitasatosporales; Streptomycetaceae
Description: bacterial SSU rRNA
Rfam family: Bacterial small subunit ribosomal RNA
Source: RNAcentral
UGCAAGUCGAACGAUGAAGCCCUUCGGGGUGGAUUAGUGGCGAACGGGUGAGUAACACGUGGGCAAUCUGCCCUUCACUCUGGGACAAGCCCUGGAAACGGGGUCUAAUACCGGAUAACACCUGCCCGGGCAUCCGGGUGGGUUAAAAGCUCCGGCGGUGAAGGAUGAGCCCGCGGCCUAUCAGCUUGUUGGUGAGGUAGUGGCUCACCAAGGCGACGACGGGUAGCCGGCCUGAGAGGGCGACCGGCCACACUGGGACUGAGACACGGCCCAGACUCCUACGGGAGGCAGCAGUGGGGAAUAUUGCACAAUGGGCGAAAGCCUGAUGCAGCGACGCCGCGUGAGGGAUGACGGCCUUCGGGUUGUAAACCUCUUUCAGCAGGGAAGAAGCGAAAGUGACGGUACCUGCAGAAGAAGCGCCGGCUAACUACGUGCCAGCAGCCGCGGUAAUACGUAGGGCGCAAGCGUUGUCCGGAAUUAUUGGGCGUAAAGAGCUCGUAGGCGGCUUGUCACGUCGGGUGUGAAAGCCCGGGGCUUAACCCCGGGUCUGCAUUCGAUACGGGCUAGCUAGAGUGUGGUAGGGGAGAUCGGAAUUCCUGGUGUAGCGGUGAAAUGCGCAGAUAUCAGGAGGAACACCGGUGGCGAAGGCGGAUCUCUGGGCCAUUACUGACGCUGAGGAGCG